GAUGAAGAACGUAGUGAAAUGCGAUACGUAAUGUGAAUUGCAGAAUUCAGUGAAUCAUCGAGUCUUUGAACGCACAUUGCGCCCCCUGGUAUUCCGGGGGGCAUGCCUGUCCGAGCGUCAUUGCUGCCCUCAAGCACGGCUUGUGUGUUGGGCCUCCGUCCUCCUCCCGGGGGACGGGCCCGAAAGGCAGCGGCGGCACCGCGUCCGGUCCUCGAGCGUAUGGGGCUUCGUCACCCGCUCUUGCAGGCCCGGCCGGCGCUUGCCGACACAUCAAUCUUUUUUCCAGGUUGACCUCGGAUCAGGUAGGGAUACCCGCUGAACUUAAGCAUAUCAAUAAGCGGAGGA
Molecule: unclassified non-coding RNA, 345 nt
Filed under: soil metagenome
Description: partial contains 5.8S ribosomal RNA, internal transcribed spacer 2, and large subunit ribosomal RNA
Rfam family: 5.8S ribosomal RNA (bases 1-120)
Source: RNAcentral